AGCAAAGAUGAUUACUCUUAUGUGCUUACCUUAUACUUUUGCUUCUAAUCCUAAUUGGGUUCAAUAUAUUAGAAGAGUUUUUAAUCCUACUUAUAAAGGUUGGCCUCGCGCAACACUUAAGGCCGAUAUUUAUAAAUUCAAACAUGAAUAUGAAUAAUAUUUGCGCUAUUUAUUUACUCAUAUACCUAAUCGGAUUUCU
Molecule: long non-coding RNA, 199 nt
Filed under: Nicotiana benthamiana
Lineage: Eukaryota; Viridiplantae; Streptophyta; Magnoliopsida; Solanales; Solanaceae
Description: long non-coding RNA (NBEN_LNC016434)
Source: RNAcentral